AUGCAGAUGGCAGCGCGUGCCCAGCAGGGAGCAUGGAAGUGCAGUGGAGGAAGAAAGCAAGCUGAGAAGCACUCUGAGAAGAUAAGGAGAUUAACCGGUGGGAGAGGUGCUUCACACCUCAAGCUGCACCAGUCCUCACCUCUCACCGUCUGCUCUGUGGCUCCCAGUGCUGACUCUGGAAGACGGAGUCUCCUCGCGUUGCCCAGGCUGGAGUGCAGUGGUGUGAUCUCGGCUCACUGCAACCUCCAUCCCGUGAGUUCAAGCGAUUCUCAUGUCUCAGCCUCCCAAGUAGCUGGGAUUACAGGUGCCUGCCACCACGCCUGGCUAAUUUUUGUAUAGUAGAGAUGGGGUUUCACCAUGUUGCCCUGGCUGGUCUUGAACUCCUGACCUCAGGUGAUCUACCCGCCUGGGCCUUCCAAAGUACUGGGAUUACAGGCGUGAGCCACCACACCUGGCCAGUGAACAUACAUUUUCAAUUAUCCUGGGUAUAUAUCUAGAAGUAGGAUUGUGGGGUCAUAUGAUAACAGCUGUAUAUUUAAUGUUUUGAAUAACUACCAAACUGUUUUCCACAGCUGCACCAUUGGAAAAUGGAUACCCCACUUUACCUUUCCACCAGCAAUGUAUGAAAGUCCUUUUGUCCAUUUUUAAUUGAGUUAAUGAAGCAGUAUUUUAAAAGUAAAAAGUGGAUAUACCUUAUGUAUCCAAACACAGGAAGUUGGUUUAAUAAAUUAGGACACUCCAUAGGACAGAAUAAUGCUGAACCUAUUACCAAAAAAGGUAGAUCUAUAAGUGUUAACAGAAUAUGUUAGACAAAGAAAGUAAGUAGCCCUAUUUGCAUGACUACCAAAGCUGUAUCUAUGUGUUUGUGCCAGAAAAGUCUGGAAGAAUAAACAACAAACCAAAUAAGGGCAGUGAAAAUGCAGGGCAUGUGAUGGGGGAUUCAAGUUUUACUUUCUCAUCUUUGGUAUUGGUUCUUUUUAAAAUAAACAUGUAUUUCUGUGGUAAUUUUUAAGCCAUAUAUUUAGGUAAAACAGAUAUCAAAGACAGUUUGUGCUUGGCAUAAGGUUAUUAGGGGAAGGUUUGAGAAGUUCUAUGAACUCCUACUGGAAAGCAACUUCAUGUCAAAAUUUGUUAAAUGGGGCAUUUUUGUCUUUCUUGUUAAAAUGUUCAUCGAAACAUUGGCUCUAGCUGUGAAAAAUUCUCUCAUCAUAAAAAGGAUUAUUGACAAUAAGUACAACAGAAAGUACUAAAAUUAAAUUUAGCUCAUGAUACAAAUACUAAGUGAAAAACAUCAAGAUACAGAAAUGUCAUCAGUAUACAUGAACAGUAUGACCUCUGUGGUCUCAAAUCUAUUCUUGCAUACACCAAAAUGUAAAAAGAAGUUUCUCUGAGUCGUGGGAUUAUAGGUGAUUAUCUUCUUCCUUAUACCUUUUUUCCCCCAAACUUUCUACAAUCAUAUGUAUAACAUUUACAGUUUUAAAAUGCUUUAAAUUUAGUUUGUAGCUUGACCAUGUUUAACCAGUGAGGUCUAAAAUGCUAGCUAUGUGAUAUGACUUAAGGCCCAUAUGACUCAAAAAUUGGAGUGUCCAUUAAAAAAUAGUAUUUUCCAGGAAUAUGCAGUGACGCGAAGAUGAAAAUGCUAUUAUAUAAGUAGUAUAUGGCAUACAAUUCGAAUUUUUUAAAAAGCACACACAUAUAUGCUUAUAAAGAUACUAGAAGAAAACAUAAAAUGCCAACAAGUCAGUUAUUUUUAUUGGCAUAGGGCAUGUAGGCAAUUACCUUCCCCUUUUUGUGUCCUUCUGUUUCCAGUUAUUUAUUUACUUAUUUGACAUGGAGUCUCACUCUGUUGCCCAGGGUGGAGUGCAGUGGCGUGAUCUCAGUUCACUGCAACAUCUGCCUCCUGGCUUCAAGUGGUUCUCCUGCCUCAGCCUCCCGAGUAGCGGGAUUACAGGUGCAUGCCACAAUGCCAGGCUAAUUUUUGUAUUUUUUGUAGAAAUGGGGUUUCCUUAUGUUGGCCAGGCUGGUUUCAAAUUCCUGGCCUCAAGUGAUCCACCCGCCUCAGCCUCCCAAAGUGUUGGGAUUACAGGUGUGAGCCACCGCACCCAGCCCUCUGUUUCAAGUUACUUAUAAUGAACAUUAUAAGUAUCUUUUAUAAUUUGAAAAAAUUCGCAAUUUAGUUUGAGAAGAAAAACAUUGCCGCUAUCUAGAUAUGGAAUAUCGGCCAUCUUUUCUACUUGUCUUUCUCUUCCGUGCCUCCCAGCCAUCCUUCUAUUCCUCCUCUACUUGGUGCCAUGGGUUCCUCUCGCCUUCCAUUUCCAUAGCUGCUCCUCUGUCUGGAGCUCAUUUCUUCUUCUGCAGAACAUAGCAAUCUCUUAACCUAGUUUGUUUUCCUGCCGUCCCUUCUCUCUCUCUCUCUCUCUCUCUCUCUCUCUCUCUCUCUCUAACCUAUUUCUGGAAGCACAAAUUCUGGAAUAAUCCACAUGGAUGACGCUGCUCCCUUGCUUAACAGCCCGUGGCUCACCGUCCUAAUGCUAUUACUGGGAGUGCUCAGCCUGACCUUGUCACUGGCUGCCUUUUACAGGGCUGGGGAGUGAGGUGCAACAGUUACCAAGCCCCACCAUGGGCCAGGCUCUGGAGGGCAGGCCCUUUUUUGUUAACUGACCUUUUGUGACAAAACCAUGCGGCUUGACCAUGCUAGCUUGGAAGGGUUCCAAAGUGUGUAUUCACGCUACUUACAGACUCAGCUCUGCCGCUGACCUUGGACUUAAUCCCCCUGCUUCUUCUCAGCUGUAACACAGAUGUCCUGCCCCCCUCCCAGGAUAGUUUUGAGAGGCAAGGGCUGGGCACUCUGUGGCAGUUGGUAGCUGGUUUCCUUUCGAGCUGUUGUCCCUAAGGGAUGCCCUGUAUGCCUUUGUUGCCUAGAGGUCUCUGGAACUGUGCUGGCUGCCCCUUUGCUGUAGGAGCUCAGCCCAACUCAUGAGCUCCCCAUUCUCUCUCCAGCCCCAGGGUGGGCUCCACAUGGCAGAGGUCUCUCAUCAGAAAUGUCCCCACUGUCACCUCCCCCAUAAAUGCAUCCCUCUCAGAUUUGACUCUGUUGAAAUGUUCAGACCACCACUCCCAAUUAUCUUUAUGUUCAGGGAGUCAUUUCUUUGAAUCUUGAAGGGACUCACUCUGGAACACCUACCAAAUUGACAGGGCCACACUGGCCUCCCUUCCCCCUUAACCGCUUUGUCCUCAUCUCCAGCAAUGGCAACAUAACCCCUCGGUCUCCCAAAGAAAUCUAGGCCACAGCACCCACAUCUCCCUCUCCUCAACCCCACAUGCCAAAUCCAGCUCCUUCUCUUUCUCUUUCCUAAGCAUGGACCAAGUCCAUCCCACUACAUUGCUCUGUGGGCCUAAAAGGAAGAGGCUGUAGCACAAAACAAGAUUUAAGGAGUUUACCUGAGCCAAAGUGAGGACAGAUGCCUGGAAGGCCCAGACCCAAGUAACCUUGAACAUUAUCUCUGUUUGGCCUUUGUUACAAGCAGUUUUUUUUUUUUAAAGGUAAAAAAGAGGGACAGGGAGUUGGCUGAUACAAAGUUGUCAGGAAUUCUCAUUGGUUUACAGAAAUAACAUUAAUUAGUGAUUGGCUAUACAUUGUUACACUACAGGGUGUGGGUUAUAGUGUCCAGUGUGGCAUUAUUAGGUUGUUUUUUAGCUACUUCUGUGAAUAGCAAGCAGUUUCAAGAGAUGAGGCCAGGGAUGGUGGCUCACAUCUGUAAUCCCAGCACCUUGGGAGGCCAAGGUGGGCAGAUAACUUGAGGUCAGGAGUUCGAGACCAGCCUGGCCAACAUGGUGAAACCCUGUCUCUACUAAAAAUACAAAAAUUAGCCUGGCAUGGUGGUUUAUGCCUAUAAUCCCAACUACUUGGGAGGCUGAGGCAGGAAAAUCCCUUAAACCCGGGAGAAUGAGGUUGCAGUGAGCCAAGAUUGUGCCACUGCACUCCAGCCUGGGAGACAGAGAGAUACUCUGUCUCAAAAUAACAAUAACAAUAAUAAAAAUAAAAAGAUGAAUACACAGCUGAAAGUGGGGACUAGGACGUUAUUGCUGUCUCAUUUUCAUGACUCUCUGGGCCUGAUAAUUUAAAAGGGCUUGCAUUCCUCAGAUAAAAGUUACUUUCUCACCUUUAGUCCAUGACUUCCUCGCGUCUUGUCUGAACCGUUGCCAUAGGCUCCUCUCAUUUUUUCCUUCGCAUCUCCAGCCUCACCCUGCCCCUUCCCCUAUCCCUCCUUCCCAAGGCAGCCACUGUUCCCGCUACUGCUGCCACUCAGGGCACUGGCGCACUCUCUGUAUUACCAACCUCGAGCUAAGUGCUUUAUGCACUGACUCUUAUCAUUCUCCUGAUAACCCCAGAGGGUAGAUUUUAAGAUCUCCACUUGACAGAUUAGCAAAACCAAGCUUCAGAGAGGUCAGGUGACUAGCCUCAGUGGUGGUCCGGGACCAGGCAGCCACAGCCUGUCCCUGAAACCACUAGAUGCUUGUGCUGCCUCCCUGCAGUGGCCUGGGCCUGUCUGUUGACUUCCUUGUGAACAGACAGGGACCCUGGGUCUUUGGCUGUCAAAUGUUUAAUGAGUGGGUGCUUGCCUUGCAGGGAACCCACACCACCCUUACUCAGCCCCCUGGCUUUGGUUAGGGUCAGGCCCCAUCAUUUGCUGACCCUUAUCUUUACUGUAAAAGUUCACCCUGACGGGAGGAAUGUUUUUAAAAGUUUUAAAUUAUAGCAUCCAUUACAACAACAUUUUCCGUUGUGAAACCCCACAGAAUUGAUACUGUGCUGCCAGGAUCAGUCCUGACUGUGUCUGCCAGCUGCCAAAAAACCGGUUAGACGCGUUAAGUUCAGAAAACCUGUUGUCUGAUGCUUUCUCACUGAUUAAAUAAAUGAGUUGUAUUGACCCAGCAUGUUGUAAUAGUUGAAAGGUUAUAAAUUAAUUGCAUAUACUCUAUCCCACAUGUAGACGUCUGAAUAGCUACCAUGGUACAAGCAAGAAGAGAUUUUAGAAAGCUAAAACCAUUGGCUUUUCUCACACCCUCUCCC
RNAcentral lists this long non-coding RNA (5074 nucleotides) under Papio anubis (olive baboon). Its description in RNAcentral is "lncRNA (ENSPANG00000040638.1)". Lineage: Eukaryota; Metazoa; Chordata; Mammalia; Primates; Cercopithecidae. The record is from RNAcentral.